GAAUGCGAUCAUACCAGCACUAAAGCACCGGAUCCCAUCACAACUCCGAAGUUAAGCGUGCUUGGGCGAGAGUAGUACUAGGAUGGGUGACCUCUUGGGAAGUCCUUGUGUUGCAUUCC
This 119-nucleotide ribosomal RNA is filed under the name Triticum aestivum (bread wheat). Lineage: Eukaryota; Viridiplantae; Streptophyta; Magnoliopsida; Poales; Poaceae. The record is from RNAcentral.